This is an RNA transcript of Motacilla alba alba, 6128 nucleotides long. It is a transcript of the gene named THAP domain containing 1, with no coding region annotated. Lineage: Eukaryota; Metazoa; Chordata; Aves; Passeriformes; Motacillidae. The record is from RefSeq and is a predicted model, not a curated record. The transcript has 5 exons.
GGGGCGGAGCGGGGGAAAGGAGGCGGCCGGAUUGGCGAGCCCGCAGAACAAGGCCCCGCCCCCACCCUGCGCGCCGACGCGCCCAAUGGGCGGAGCGCGGUGCGCGCAGCUACCGCGAGAGGUUCCGUUGAAGCUGGCGCCGCCAUCUUGGAGUUGGGAGAGGCCGCGCGUCCCGUUCCCGUCCCUCUCCGGAGGGGCACGGGCGCGGGGGGGGGGCCGCGGGAGGCGGGGGAAGCAUGGGCGCCCGGCGCUGAGUUCGCAGCGUCCCGCCGACUCGUCCGUCCCCACGAAGGCCGCGCCGCGACGGGCGUGGGGUUGGGCGGGAUGGUGCAGUCCUGUUCCGCCUACCGCUGCCGGAACCGAUACGACAAAGAGAAGCCCAUCUCCUUCCACAAGUUUCCUCUUACAAGACCCGAUCUUUGCAAGAAGUGGGAAGCUGCUGUUAAGAGGAAAAACUUCAAGCCGACCAAGUACAGCAGCAUUUGCUCAGAACACUUUACCCCCGAUUGCUUUAAGAGGGAAUGCAAUAACAAGCUCCUAAAAGAGAAUGCUGUGCCCACAAUAUUCUGUUACACUGAACCCGGUGAAAAGUCUGAAGAAUUUGCAGAGCAGCCAGGAGAUCCACUGCCACCUCCUCCAUUGCCACCGCCGCCACCACCUCCACCACCACCACCACCACCAGCAGCUCCAGUGCUACCACAGUCUCCGUCAACUCCUUCUUUUCAUUUGUCUCAAAUAGAUGCCAGAUUGGUAGAUCCGAGUAUUGGAUUAUUGAUGCCCCCUCUCCAGACCCCCAGCAAUCUUGCUGUUUUUUGCGAUCAUAACUACACCGUCGAGGAUACAGUCCAUCAGCGAAAAAGAAUUCAACAGCUGGAGGAACAAGUUGAAAAACUGCGGAAGAAGCUCAAGACAGCGCAACAGCGGUGCCGGCGUCAGGAAAGACAAAUUGAGAAACUAAGAGAAAUUGUUCAGUUUCAGAAAGAAAAAGACAUAUUGGCAGGAAAAGGCUAUGUGAUUCUGCCUAAUGACUAUUUUGAAGUCGUAGAAGUACCUGCCUAGGAGUCACGAACAUCAGUUUUCACUUUGGUAGGCCAGGAAAUACAGUUUAAAAACUAAAUUCUUUCUAAUCCUAAUUCUAAAACAGUAAUUAAGCAGUCAUACAAAUAAGAUAAUAUUUUUUCUUCGUUGUCAUUUCAGUUUGAUAUACUUUUAAUAAAUUGAAGAUGCAAGUAUCUCAGAAUUAGAAUAUGCAAUGAAUUUACAAAAUAUUAAUUGCUUCCAGAAAGAAAGGAUGCAAGAUGGAAGACACAUAGGAAUUUACUUUUUUUACAAUGUCUGUCUUAUGCUUACAGGGACUGGAAACUGAAUCUGGGUGAGAGUGAAGUUUAGGUGGUUAUACACCUAGUGCUUUGUCAAAACUUCUAAUGUUGGCUUUGGUAAUCCCCAGUAAGUAGUUUUCACUGAUUUUAGAAAGAACAGAAUUAGGUCAGCUAACAUCUGCAAGUGCUGCAAAAAGAUAGCUAAGAUGCACAUUUCAGUCUGGGAAAACUUCCAACUUCAGUUUGCUAUGCAUUUGAAGAACUGCAAAAAGUAAUUCCUGGAUCCCUUUGGGUGAGGAAUUUCAAGUGUGACUUCCUGAAGCACAGUGGAUUACUGCAAUACCACACCCCCUGCCACCCGCCUCUGCGCCCCAACACUUGGUUGUGUACUCCCACCACCACCCUUCUUAUGUCCUCCAGUUCUCUGGAAGUGACUGAGGUGCUGGCUGUACCCUUCUGUGGGACACUUCAGCUCACUAAAGCAGCAGGUUUGGCUUGUAGUGGAGAGGCAGCAGAGGGCCAACAGUGCCACACCUGAUACAAGUUAAAGACAGGGCCAAAUGCAGGGCAUGAGAAGAAAUAAAUCCUCUCCUCUGGGUGCAAUGAGCAUUAUGUCAGCUUCUUCUGAAAAUACAUGGGUAGCUUCCUAAUCUGAAUGUUCAGCACCAUUCCCUUCCAUCUGGGCCAUACUUCUCUGUUUCCCCCCCACCUUAUGUGCUGCUGUGCUUGUUGGGCCCUUCCUUUGGGUGUUUUAACUUCAUAACUCUUCAGGGAAGCAGCUGAAUAAACUAAGUCUGCAAAUUAAAUUUUAGGUACACUGGUAGAUGGCUGAUACAUGGUGUGUGGAGUCCUUGUAUCUUUAAGCUGUUUGCUUUGGUGAAGUUCAUUUAACAGCUUUAGAUUUAACAUAAAUUCUAUUGAGGGGGUUGAUUAUUUGUUGUCUGGACAGUUUCAGAAGUAAUAUGCUGAAGAGGGGACUGCUGCUCAGUUGUCUUCCUUUCCUCUUACCAGAUGAUAGUAUAAGAAGAGAUGCAGCCUAUUGUGAUAACAGGCUUGAAUUUCUUCAAUUUCUUCUGCCGCAGCUAUUUUUUUUCCUUUCCAAAAAAAAUCUUGUUAACUUCUGGUAUAGUCAUGUCUGGGCUAAGUGUGGACUUUAGUAGACAAAUGAGGGCUCAGUACCACAGAGCUCUGAAGUGGAGAGAAAAGACUGGAACAGAAACAACUGAUUGUCUUUUAGCAAUUGACUCUUUAUGCACUGCACCCCGUCCCUCACUCUUUCACAAUCUCUCUCUGUGGUAGCAGUAUAGAAAGAGAAGAUGAAGGCUCUCUGCUACUGGUGAGGCUAGGAAAAUAAUUCUAGCUAGUAAGCACAAUAUGUUCCAUUAGCAUGUGUUAAAAUUUCCUAUACUUUUGGGAUCUGGUACAUCCGCACAAUCAUCUGUUAGAGAGGUCUGCAACAGUUACUGUUUGCAUUGGCCACAACUGUACCUGCAUUAGCACUAAUUUCAUAAACAUCUCUGAAAAAAUGUGAUUGGGAGUUAAAAAGCAGAGGUUGUAAUUGUAGGAUGGCAUGUGGUUUUUCACGUGUACAUGAAGUAGCUGACAUUUGUUUAAAUGCACUUCACUGAAGCCUAUUUUAUAAACUGAAAAAUUCAAGUGAGUUAGAAAAUAGCAAAAUUGGCAAAAAAUUUCUAUCAUUAAAUUACAGAAAUAUUUAUUUUGAAAUGGGUAGAUGCUUCAACAGAUAGGAAUUGGCAUAAUUUCUUAACAGAAGUUGUAUUGCUGAGCACCAAUUGUAUUGAAAGAAAACUGGUGGGAAGAGAAGUGAAGAAUAUGAGAUAAAGAGGAGAGACUCCUCAGAAGUCAGUUACAUCUGAAACAAGAACAUGCUUAUUAAAAUACAGCUACUACAGAUUGAGUCAAAAUCUAGGGUACUCCUUUGCUGCCUCCAUGCCACUUCGCUUACCUCUCCCUGUUGCCCCAAUUACCCUUUUGCUGCAGCAGGGUAUCUGAUGUAUGUGCAGUGUUUGCUUUUUUUCUUUUUACACUUCUGCAAAGUAUUAGAUUUCCCUGUCUAACUGGGACUUUUCAAGCUCAAGAGGUAUGCUUUGUGGGGAAAAAAAUGAAUAGCUAAAUACUUGAAUUACUUGUCAUGCUGAGGGAGUUCUUUGUCAUGGCUCUGUUUACUCCUGCAUUUCCAGUUACCAUCUUGUCUGUGUUGUCACUGGUGUGGUCUUAAAAACUAUGUCAGCAAAUUAAGGAAAUCAACAUGUCCAAGCAAUCUUCUGUCUUGCUGACAUUUCAUUUUCCUUCAGCUCUGUUAGGAUUUAAGCCCUUGGUGUCCUGUGUGAAUUGUGAAGGAGUUCUCUUGCAGCUGAAGAAAGUGCAAAGCAAAUCCCACUCUGAAUGUAGGAAGAAGGAAAGGAAGAUAGUUGAUUGGGUAAAACUAAAACCUCAACAGCUUCAGAAUGCUUUCCAAGGGACUCCUCCUGUUACUUGCUUUUCUGGACCCAGGCAGUUAUUUCUAGUUGCUCUUUUGCUUUCUUGCUUUCUUUCUUUUGUGAGGUCUGUUUUAGGUUUUAGGCUGCAGCUUUAUCUGUUUCCUGACAGCUUACGGCUUCAUCAGGUGGCUAUGGCAGGGUGGAAUGGGGUGAGCUAUGGUCUAAUUUUAACCAUCAAAACACAAACUGCUGAAGCAUGUUGAUGACUGCUAGUUCAGGUAUGUAACUCCUGCUGUUUUAAGCACAGCAGUUUAUUUACCAUAUUCUGCCACAAUAAUGAUUUGUUUAUAAAUGAGAAAGAGAAAAACAGGAUACAUGACUCAAAAAUAUUACAGCAGUUGCUCUUAGAGAUUUCCCUUUGUGUUUGUUCAAUGCAAAUUUUAUCUUCAUGUAGAGAACUCUGAUAGAACUGCAGCAUUUUAUUGCACAAAAUUGGCAGAAGACCUUACAGUGUUAUAUAGGCUGAAAGAGUUUAAAAGUGGGCAAAAAAAUGUGUUGCGAAGUUGCUGUUUAAUCCACUAUGACUCACUUUGAAACAGUUGCCAAAGAAAGUAAUCUUAAAUAUUCUUAAGUUAAAGAAAGCAUUUAAAUCAGUUACUGAGAAGGAAAGGUUCAAGUACCUCUCUUGAGAAUAGUUACAUUACAUUGUCAUAAUUAAAUUUUUGAUUAAGUCUGUCCACAGUCUUGCCACUAAGAGUUCAUUUAAAAUUGAGUAUCAGGCUUUUUGUUGUGCAAAAUUAGCCACUGAUAGUCCUGUAGAUGCUUCCUCCUAUUGUAAAGGAGGCAAAUAAAUUGUAGAGUCUGGACUCACACAUUCGGGAACUUAUGAAACGUGAUUGUCCUCUGCCUCUCAUUUGGUUCCAGGUGUCUUUUAGUUAGGGAUGAGUAUGGAGAAUGAUAUCAGGCCAGUCACUGGACUGUUUGGUUUGAUUGUUGUUGUGGUGGUGGUGGUUUUUUCUUUGUUGUGUUUUGUUUUGUUUUUUGGUUUGGUUUUGAUUUUAUUUUUUUUAUAUUCAUGGAUAACUUGAGGAAAUCAGGCAGGCUUCCCACUUCCUUUCAGGUUUCAUUGGAUGUGACCAUUAAAGAUGCAGAGUCUGAGGCUGUACUUGUCAUCUGUAGAAGAACCAAUACUCCAGUAUUUCAGGCAUGUAAGAUGUGUGACUUUCUACUGGAAGCUCUUCAAUUCAAUGACCUGGGACAGGAUCAGACUCUUCAUUCAUCACUUCAGUGAUGCUGAUGCUGUGAGGUCCAGAAGAAUACUGCCUGCGCAUAAAGAAAAUCUAAAGGAAGAGUUAUUCCCAGCCCAGUUGUGAACCAGCAAGUGGAGUCUUACAGCUCUCACAGGAGGUUGUGUGAGCUCCGGCCACAGAAGAUGGCCUUACUGAUAAAUGCUUCAUUCUAACUAUAUUCAGCUUGAUCAUGCAGGCUUGUCUCAUAGGUGUCCUCAGCUGACACAAUGUUAUAUCAAAUGAUUUUGUGGUGGUGGUUUUAAUCUGAGGAAUUCUAGGAGUCAGAAGAAUACUGUCAGAAGAAUAUUUGUGGUAUUGUGUUGAGGGACUGAAAAAUAAUUUAUUUGACUAUAACCUUAAAUCCUGUUGUUGUAUGUAUAUACUUUCAGCUCUUAAUUUUUUUCUUUCUAAGUUCAGAUAGGAAAAUAGUUUUACUAGUGUGUUUGGUUUUGGUUUUUUUUUUUUUUUCAUGAGAAGGGACUGAAAUAGUUCAGAGUUUAUUUAUGUGUUCAGCAUGGUGAGGAACCGGGCAGGUUCUUUAGUACAGAUAAUACAACAUGGAAAUCUCUUGGUUGCAUAUAAUAGGAAACAUCUAUUCCCCCAAGUGAAUGCUCAUGUAGCUGUUUCAGCUUAAAGAACUCAGCUUGUUUGGAAAUUAUCUAUGUCAAAUAUAGGUAUCCAUAAACCACAGUUAUAGGAUCUGUGGAGUUACCUUUCUUUGAUACUGUCAUCAGCUGACAAACUCAAGAAUUCCUCAUGGUAAAUCUACAUAUAACUGAAAAAAUUGUAAAUACAUAUGUAAUAAAUUUUACACUCAAAUGUUCAGGCAAGCUUAACCUAAUAGUAUCACUAUGGUGAUAACCAUCCUUCCAUCAAUAUUGAUAUUUACCUCUUGACCUGUCUACUAAGGUUGCUAGAACUUGGACUUUUUGAUUCAUAUAAUAGCCACCAGGUAAUUGACAUGUAUAUGAUUUCAGUGAUAAGAUGUAGUGAAAUUAAAUAAAUAUUUGCAAAUGGUGCUUUCUUGCGUUGUUCACAGUGUUGCCUGGAUUCCUACACCAAAUAAAAGCCCAGCAUCC